Molecule: ribosomal RNA, 253 nt
Filed under: uncultured bacterium
Lineage: Bacteria
Description: partial 16S ribosomal RNA
Rfam family: Bacterial small subunit ribosomal RNA
Source: RNAcentral
UACGUAGGUGGCAAGCGUUGUCCGGAAUUAUUGGGCGUAAAGCGCGCGCAGGCGGUCCUUUAAGUCUGAUGUGAAAGCCCACGGCUCAACCGUGGAGGGUCAUUGGAAACUGGGGGACUUGAGUACGGAAGAGGAAAGCGGAAUUCCACGUGUAGCGGUGAAAUGCGUAGAGAUGUGGAGGAACACCAGUGGCGAAGGCGGCUUUCUGGUCUGUAACUGACGCUGAGGCGCGAAAGCGUGGGGAGCAAACAGG